Molecule: ribosomal RNA, 1253 nt
Filed under: Enderleinella sp. KY472
Lineage: Eukaryota; Metazoa; Arthropoda; Insecta; Psocodea; Caeciliusidae
Description: SSU rRNA
Rfam family: Eukaryotic small subunit ribosomal RNA
Source: RNAcentral
GUUAUGGUUCAUUGGAUGGUACCAAGUUACUUGGAUAACUGUGGUAAUUCUAGAGCUAAUACAUGCAAAUAGAGUCCCAACCAUUAAUUUGGGAGGGAUGCUUUUAUUAGAUCAAAACCAAUCGGGCCUCACGGUCUGUUGCUUUUGGUGACUCUGAAUAACUUUGGGCUGAUCGCAUGGCCUCGUGCCGGCGACGCAUCUUUCAAAUGUCUGACUUAUCAACUUUCGAUGGUAGGUUCUGCGCCUACCACGGUAAUAACGGGUAACGGGGAAUCAGGGUUCGAUUCCGGAGAGGGAGCCUGAGAAACGGCUACCACAUCCAAGGAAGGCAGCAGGCGCGCAAAUUACCCACUCCCAGUUCGGGGAGGUAGUGACGAAAAAUAACGAUGCAGAACUCAUUCCGAGGCUCUGCAAUCGGAAUGAGAACACUCUAAAUCAUUUAACGAGUAUCCAUUGGAGGACAAGUCUGGUGCCAGCACCCGCGGUAAUUCCAGCUCCAAUAGCGUAUAUUAAAGUUGUUGCGGUUAAAAAGCUCGUAGUUGGAUCUGUGUUUCACGCUGACGGUUCACCGUUUGAUCGGUGUUUAACUGUCAUGUCGUGACACGUCCUGCCGGUUGGCAUGUCCGUGGGCCUCGGUCUGCGGCUGCCAGUUCCAAUCCUGUCGCGGUGCUCUUCACCGAGUGCUGAGGCAGGCCGGCAAGUUUACCUUGAACAAAUUUGAGUGCUUCAUGCAGGCUAUAAUUGCCUGAAAACUGUGUGCAUGGAAUAAUAAAAUAUGACUUUGGUCGUAUUUUGUUGGUUUUCACGGUCCGAAGUAAUGAUUAAUAGGAACCGACGGGGGCAUUAGUAUUGCGACGUUAGAGGUGAAAUUCUUGGAUCGUCGCAAGACUAACCUAAGCGAAAGCAUUUGCCAAGAAUGCUUCCAUUAAUCAAGAACGAAAGUUAGAGGUUCGAAGGCGAUCAGAUACCGCCCUAGUUCUAACCAUAAACGAUGCCAGCCAGCGAUCUGUCGCAGUUCCUCCGAUGACUCGACAGGCAGCUUCCGGGAAACUAAAGCAUUUGGGUUCCGGGGGAAGUAUGGUUGCAAAGCUGAAACUUAAAGGAAUUGACGGAAAGGCACCACCAGGAGUGGAGCCUGCGGCUUAAUUUGACUCAACACGGGAAACCUCACCAGGCCAGAACACUAGAUGGAUUGACAGAUUGAGAGCUCUUUCUUGAUUUAGUGGGUGGUGGUGCAUGGCCGUUCUUAGUUG